This is a long non-coding RNA of Oncorhynchus keta (chum salmon), 374 nucleotides long. RefSeq lists it as uncharacterized. Lineage: Eukaryota; Metazoa; Chordata; Actinopteri; Salmoniformes; Salmonidae. The transcript is spliced from 3 exons. The record is from RefSeq and is a predicted model, not a curated record.
UUGACCUGACUCUGUAGGUGGCGUAGCUGCAAGCCCUGCUCCAGGUGUGUGUGUGUGUUUACCUGGUUGACCUGACUCUGUAGGUGGCGUAGCUGCAAGCCCUGCUCCAGGUGUGUGUGUGUGUUUACCUGGUUGACCUGACUCUGUAGGUGGCGUAGCUGCAAGCCCUGCUCCAGGUGUGUGUGUGUGUUUACCUGGUUGACCUGACUCUGUAGGUGGCGUAGCUGCAAGCCCUGCUCCAGGUGUGUGUGUGUGUUUACCUGGUUGACCUGACUCUGUAGGUGGCGUAGCUGCAAGCCCUGCUCCAGGUGUGUGUGUGUGUUUACCUGGUUGACCUGACUCUGUAGGUGGCGUAGCUGCAAGCCCUGCUCCAG